Molecule: transfer RNA, 92 nt
Filed under: Araneus ventricosus
Lineage: Eukaryota; Metazoa; Arthropoda; Arachnida; Araneae; Araneidae
Description: tRNA-Ile
Source: RNAcentral
UUCCCCAGGUGAGGCUCGAACUCACAGCCUCGGCAUUUCUCGCAGGCACUGCCUUAUAAGUACCGCGCGCUAACCAAUUGCGCCACUGGGGA